This 26-nucleotide non-coding RNA is filed under the name Rattus norvegicus (Norway rat). Lineage: Eukaryota; Metazoa; Chordata; Mammalia; Rodentia; Muridae. The record is from RNAcentral.
UGGCUGUAGCAAGAUGCUCUAAUCCC